Long non-coding RNA from Amphimedon queenslandica, 409 nucleotides. RefSeq lists it as uncharacterized. NCBI's taxonomy places the organism in Eukaryota, Metazoa, Porifera, Demospongiae, Haplosclerida, Niphatidae. The transcript is spliced from 2 exons. The record is from RefSeq and is a predicted model, not a curated record.
UGCUUGUAUAAUGCUCAUCUCUAGGUUUGUCUGCUGCUGGAGGUCUUUUACCUCCUCCUGUGUCCAGCAGUCGUCCAGUGAAACCUCCAACAGUUCCUGCUCCAUCCACCACCUCAGGUAGUGAUGAUUGGGGAGACUUCUUCUCAGCUAGUGCAACUGGAAACAGUUCUACUAGCAGCAGUGGCAAUACAACUAGUGGGACAAACUCAAGUGGUGGUGGUGGUUGGGUUCAGUUUUAGUUUCUCUUUCAAGGACUGGAAGAUUAUGAAAAGUGCCCAAUUUUGUAUCUGAACCUUUUUAAUGCAUUACAACAGGAGGAGCUAUGUUAUAAAUAUUUUAGUAUUAUUGUAUUAUUAUCAUUAUUAUUAUUAUUAUUAUUGUUAUUUGCAAGAGAUAGUUGGAAGAAUUA